AGCAGCCGCGGUAAUUCCAGCUCCAAUAGCGUAUAUUAAAGUUGUUGCAGUUAAAAGCUCGUAGUUGAAUUUCGGGAUCAAUAUGUCGGUCGUGCCUCCGGUACGUACUGGCAUCAUUGAUUUCUCCCUUCUGACGAACCAUGAUGUCAUUAAUUUGGUGUCAUGGGGAGUCAGGACUGUUACUUUGAAAAAUUGAGUGUUAAAGCAGGCUCACGCUUGAAUACAUUAGCAUGGAAUAAUGAAAUAGGACGUUUGACCCUAUUUUGUGGUUUCUAGGAUCGACGUAAUGAUUAAUAGGGAUAGUUGGGGCAUUAGUAUUCAAUUGUCAGAGGUGAAAUUC
This 340-nucleotide ribosomal RNA is filed under the name uncultured Glomus. RNAcentral's name for it is "SSU rRNA". It matches the Rfam family "Eukaryotic small subunit ribosomal RNA", at positions 569 to 919 of the family's 1831-position model. The record is from RNAcentral. Lineage: Eukaryota; Fungi; Glomeromycota; Glomeromycetes; Glomerales; Glomeraceae.